This 165-nucleotide long non-coding RNA is filed under the name Jaculus jaculus (lesser Egyptian jerboa). RNAcentral's name for it is "Rhabdomyosarcoma 2 associated transcript conserved region 8 (ENSJJAG00000002711.1)". The stretch from base 1 to 142 matches the Rfam family "Rhabdomyosarcoma 2 associated transcript conserved region 8". Lineage: Eukaryota; Metazoa; Chordata; Mammalia; Rodentia; Dipodidae. The record is from RNAcentral.
AGGGGAGCAGGCCAAUACUACAAGGGUUAUCUCACAACCUCAGAUGUCGGAUAAGUUGAAGGAGGCAGGAUCGCCUCUGGAUGACAUUCAGAAAGGCUGGGAUAAUUAUUUGGAAGAGAAAAGCCUGCCUAUUCUUUCCAAGGUAAACAGUUCGUUUCAUCUGUC